RNAcentral lists this ribosomal RNA (468 nucleotides) under uncultured bacterium. RNAcentral describes it as "partial 16S ribosomal RNA". It matches the Rfam family "Bacterial small subunit ribosomal RNA", at positions 28 to 507 of the family's 1533-position model. The record is from RNAcentral.
GACGAACGCUGGCGGCGUGCUUAACACAUGCAAGUCGAACGGAAAGGCCCUGCUUUUGUGGGGUGCUCGAGUGGCGAACGGGUGAGUAACACGUGAGUAACCUGCCCUUGACUUUGGGAUAACUUCAGGAAACUGGGGCUAAUACCGGAUAGGCGCUCCUGCUGCAUGGUGGGGGUUGGAAAGUUUCGGCGGUUGGGGAUGGACUCGCGGCUUAUCAGCUUGUUGGUGGGGUAGUGGCUUACCAAGGCUUUGACGGGUAGCCGGCCUGAGAGGGUGACCGGCCACAUUGGGACUGAGAUACGGCCCAGACUCCUACGGGAGGCAGCAGUGGAGAAUAUUGCACAAUGGGCGGAAGCCUGAUGCAGCAACGCCGCGUGCGGGAUGACGGCCUUCGGGUUGUAAACCGCUUUCGCAUGUGACGAAGCGUGAGUGACGGUAAUGGGUAAAGAAGCACCGGCUAACUACGUG